AGAUUGAACGCUAGCGGGAUGCUUUACACAUGCAAGUCGAACGGCAGCGCGGACUUCGGUCUGGCGGCGAGUGGCGAACGGGUGAGUAAUAUAUCGGAACGUGCCCAGUAGCGGGGGAUAACUACGCGAAAGCGUGGCUAAUACCGCAUACGCCCUACGGGGGAAAGGGGGGAUCGCAGGACCUCUCACUAUUGGAGCGGCCGAUAUCAGAUUAGCUAGUUGGUGAGGUAAAGGCUCACCAAGGCGACGAUCCUGUAGCUGGUUUGAGAGGACGACCAGCCACACUGGGACUGAGACACGGCCCAGACUCCUACGGGAGGCAGCAGUGGGGAAUUUUGGACAAGUGGGGGAAACCCUGACUCCAGCCAUCCCGCACGUGCGAUGAA
Molecule: ribosomal RNA, 386 nt
Filed under: uncultured soil bacterium
Lineage: Bacteria
Description: bacterial SSU rRNA
Rfam family: Bacterial small subunit ribosomal RNA
Source: RNAcentral